GUGGGGAAUAUUGGGCAAUGGGGGCAACCCUGACCCAGCAACGCCGCGUGAGGGAAGAAGGUUUUCGGAUUGUAAACCUCUGUCCUAUGGGAAGAAGGAAGUGACGGUACCAUAGGAGGAAGCCCCGGCUAACUACGUGCCAGCAGCCGCGGUAAUACGUAGGGGGCGAGCGUUGUCCGGAAUUACUGGGCGUAAAGGGUGCGCAGGUGGCCUGACAAGUCAGAUGUGAAAUACCGAUGCUUAACGUCGGGGCUGCAUUUGAAACUAUGAGGCUGGAGUGCAGGAGAGGGAAGCGGAAUUCCUAGUGUAGCGGUGAAAUGCAUAGAUAUUAGGAGGAACACCAGUGGCGAAGGCGGCUUACUGGACUGUAACUGACGUUGAGGCUCGAAAGCGUGGGGAGCAAACAGGAUUAGAAACCCUUGUAGUCC
RNAcentral lists this ribosomal RNA (428 nucleotides) under uncultured bacterium. Its description in RNAcentral is "partial 16S ribosomal RNA". It matches the Rfam family "Bacterial small subunit ribosomal RNA", at positions 354 to 796 of the family's 1533-position model. The record is from RNAcentral.